Molecule: long non-coding RNA, 242 nt
Organism: Dermochelys coriacea (leatherback sea turtle)
Lineage: Eukaryota; Metazoa; Chordata; Testudines; Dermochelyidae
Exons: 3
Source: RefSeq, a predicted model, not a curated record
UCUAUUCAUCCUAUUUGUAUGCAUGUAUCAUUUUUGUUUUUGAAUUUAUGAAUAUUGGCUGUGUACUUGUGUGAUUUUUAAGUAGCCUUAGUAAGGCAUUUGGUCAACUUCUUUAGAAAGGGAUGUGCACGUUAAGUGCCCAAUCAAGAAACACUUAAGCUGACACUAAACCUUGAUGGACACCAAUCCACAUAUGAGCUUUCCUGGCUAUGUGGCUUGGCCUGGACGGUUUUGGCGUCUCA